GGUCAGGCUGAAGACCUUACCCGAUUAGCUGAGAGGGGUGCAUGGCCGUCGUCAGUUCGUACUGUGAAGCAUCCUGUUAAGUCAGGCAACGAGCGAGACCCACGUCCACAGUUGCCAGCAUACCCUCCGGGGUGAUGGGUACACUGUGGAGACCGCCGCUGCUAAAGCGGAGGAAGGAGUGGGCAACGGUAGGUCAGUAUGCCCCGAAUCUCCCGGGCUACACGCGGGCUACAAUGGUUGGUACAAUGGGCAUCUACCCCGAAAGGGGAAGGAAAUCUCUUAAAGCCAAUCGUAGUUCGGAUUGAGGGCUGCAACUCGCCCUCAUGAAGCUGGAAUCCGUAGUAAUCGCGUUUCAACAGAACGCGGUGAAUACGUCCCUGCUCCUU
This 386-nucleotide ribosomal RNA is filed under the name uncultured Methanosaeta sp. RNAcentral's name for it is "bacterial SSU rRNA". It matches the Rfam family "Archaeal small subunit ribosomal RNA", at positions 952 to 1338 of the family's 1478-position model. Lineage: Archaea; Methanobacteriati; Methanobacteriota; Methanomicrobia; Methanotrichales; Methanotrichaceae. The record is from RNAcentral.